AUACGUAGGUCCCGAACGUUGCGCGAAAUUACUGGGCGUAAAGGGUCCGUAGGCGGUCUGGUAAGUGGAAGGUGAAAGCCUGGGGCUCAACUCCAGAAUUGCCUUCCAAACUGCCGGACUUGAGGCAGGGAGAGGUCGGCGGAAUUCCCGGUGUAGUGGUGAAAUGCGUAGAUAUCGGGAGGAACACCAGUGGCGAAGGCGGCCGACUGGAACUGUCCUGACGCUGAGGGACGAAAGCCAGGGGAGCGAACCGGAUUAGAAACCCUUGUAGUCC
RNAcentral lists this ribosomal RNA (274 nucleotides) under uncultured bacterium. RNAcentral's name for it is "partial 16S ribosomal RNA". It matches the Rfam family "Bacterial small subunit ribosomal RNA", at positions 523 to 796 of the family's 1533-position model. The record is from RNAcentral.